GGCCAAAUGGUCUAGUGGUAUGAUUCUUGCUUUGGGUUGCGUUGAUGUGCUCAACUGCAAGAGGUCCCGUGUUCAAUCCACGGUUUGGCCC
Molecule: transfer RNA, 91 nt
Filed under: Trichoderma citrinoviride
Lineage: Eukaryota; Fungi; Ascomycota; Sordariomycetes; Hypocreales; Hypocreaceae
Description: tRNA-Pro
Rfam family: tRNA
About the family: Transfer RNA (tRNA) molecules are approximately 80 nucleotides in length. Their secondary structure includes four short double-helical elements and three loops (D, anti-codon, and T loops).
Source: RNAcentral